RNAcentral lists this ribosomal RNA (509 nucleotides) under uncultured Sphingobacteriales bacterium. RNAcentral describes it as "bacterial SSU rRNA". It matches the Rfam family "Bacterial small subunit ribosomal RNA", at positions 903 to 1382 of the family's 1533-position model. Lineage: Bacteria; Pseudomonadati; Bacteroidota; Sphingobacteriia; Sphingobacteriales. The record is from RNAcentral.
UGCGCCUUGCCAGCCCGCCUACAGAAACUUAAAGGAAGUUGACGGGGGCCCGGCACAAGCGGUGGAGCAUGUGGUUUAAUUCGAUGAUACGCGAGGAACCUUACCUGGGCUCAAAUGUAUGUUGACGUAUUCUGAAAGGGAUACUUCUUCGGACAAUAUACAAGGUGCUGCAUGGUUGUCGUCAGCUCGUGCCGUGAGGUGUCGGGUUAAGUCCCAUAACGAGCGCAACCCCUACCUUUAGUUGCCAUCAGGUUAAGCUGGGGACUCUAAAGGAACUGCCUACGCAAGUAGUGAGGAAGGCGGGGAUGACGUCAAAUCAGCACGGCCCUUACGUCCAGGGCUACACACGUGCUACAAUGGCCGGUACAAAGGGCAGCUACCUGGUGACAGGAUGCUAAUCUCAAAAGCCGGUCUCAGUUCGGAUCGAAGUCUGCAACCCGACUUCGUGAAGCUGGAUUCGCUAGUAAUCGCGCAUCAGCCAUGGCGCGGUGAAUACGUUCCCGGGCCUU